Equus caballus (horse) is the source of this 6083-nucleotide long non-coding RNA. RefSeq lists it as uncharacterized. The record is from RefSeq and is a predicted model, not a curated record. NCBI's taxonomy places the organism in Eukaryota, Metazoa, Chordata, Mammalia, Perissodactyla, Equidae.
GCAUUUGUUCCUUAAAAUAAAACAGUAUUUUUCUCUACCUUUCCCUUGGAGAUGGCCCUUCUUUACUAAGGUCUAUAGAGGGCCUUAAUAGGCUGCUUUUAAUAGCGGUAUGUGGGCAACAGGAUGGUUAAUUUCACGAGUAUUAUUAGUUUAUGAAUAUUCAUUAAAUUUGUUUUUAAGCAGCAAUUCAACUUUGUAAAUGGUUGCAGCCAGAAAAAGCUCUAAUUAGAGGAAUUAAUUAGGACUUGGAAAGGUGAACAGGGAUUUGUGGGCAUUCAGAAGGGGUAUUUUCUCAACAAGAGACAGAUACCUCCCAGGGAGCUGGCAAUACAGUUUGCACGUACACCAGGUGAAAGAGAACAGUGAGUUUCAAGCCUUAAGGCAGAGUGGAGGUCUGUUGUUCAAGUUAGCACAGGACAUCUUGCAGAUUACAGGACAUCCAGGUCUUUCCUUGGUGGAAUUCAUCUUUUAAAAGAUCUUGUUACCAACAUUCAAAACUCACAUUUAAUCCUAGUAAAAAGUUAAACCCAGUUAAACAAGAAUAAUGUGACAAUGGAAACUAUUUUCCAUAGUCGGAGUGGUGCGUCUUUCCCUCUCAGUUAUCUCCAUAACAUGAUGACGUCCCUGCCACCAGAAACCCAAAGGAAGCAGCUGCUCUGAAUAUGUACAAACAAAAGAAGCUGUUACUAUAGCAACCAUAGAACUCUGUGGAAAAGCUCUCCCUUUAGCACUAGCCAAUCCCUCUCUUCACCCCUCCCUCCCAUCCUUUUGUGCACCGGUACACACUGCCUUUGGACAGAUAUGUUUUCAUCCCUAGCCCAUAUUCAUGCCCAUGAGCCAAAUGCGGCAUGGCUGAAUGGAAUCUGUGGACUGCUGAUUCCACAGUUGCUAAUGAAUUGGAUGAAAGAUAGAACUGUUUUGACUUCAGAGCCAUACGAUAAGAGGCAGCCAUCAGAGAAAGAGAGAGAGAGAAGAUCUUUUAAACUCUUUAUAAUCUGAUAGGAAUAAUCUCAAAGAUCAAAUGUUAAAUUUUUGAAAAGCAAAGUGAAGAACUUAUGUAUAGAGUAUUAUACCUUUUGUGCAAAAAUAAAAAUGACAUCUGCAUGUGCGUAUGUGUGUGUGCAUGCAAUUUGCUUAGAACCGCUCUGAAAGGACACACGCACGCAAAGACACUAGAAACAUCAAAAGUUUCUAGAGAGGUAGCCGGGUAUUUGGGUAACCUAGGUGGGAGGGAGACUUCAUUUUAUACCUUCUGUACCUUUUGAAUUUUUUAGUGUUACCGAUUCAAAAAUAAAUUUAUGUAAAAUUGUCUAAAAACUAUUGCUUUCUAAUCUUCUUGCUCAGAUGUUGGGCAGACAACUGAAAGGAGACAGCUGUGAGAGUGACCAAAAUUAAAGCCCAUGAUGAGACUUCUCUCCUUCCUCUUCAACUAUUCUUUGGCUGACAUAUCCCUCUUGCUACCUUCCCAUUGUUUCCGCUGUCCUAUUGAUCUUGGAAACAAAGGCAGGGAAGGAAUAACAUUGGUUAAGGAUGAAAAUCAUUUCCAGAUUUCCUCAAGAUAAUUUGAGACCACCCUAGGUCAGAGAACAGUUUUGUAUAAUCUUGAGGGACUGUCCCUGCAGAUGGAUUUGUAACAAUAUGUAUUUCUUAUUCAUUCCUGAGUGGAAAGAUGUGAAAUUUGUUAAUGGCUACACACAUGUAAGUAGGCAUUGAUGUGUUCACCUGAAGCUCACCCAUCACUUUUGAGGCAUGUCUGGUGUAAGCCAAGUAUCAUCUAGUACACCUAUGUAUUUAGUAGUAACUCAACAAAUAUUAAUUGAUAUUAAGGAUCAUAAAUAAACUCAGUGUGCAGCCAGCUUGACUCAGAUCUAUAUAAACAGACUGGUUAUCAUUUUAAGGGCCUUUUCCCUGGAAAAACAUUUAAUUAAACUUUUUAAGAGUUACUAGAUACAGGAUCAACUGUAAUGUAUCAUUAUGUGUCAUGAAACUUUUGUUAGUGCUUUUUAGAAAGAACUCUACUUUUGGUAACUAUUUUCUUCAGAUGAGAUUAAUAUGCACAGUUAACCAGGUUAUAUUUUAAAAAUCAAUAAAAAUUCUGUAAUAUCAUAGACAUGAAAAAGAACAAAGCCAACUAAAAUAUAUAGAUAGAAGCCCAGCUUAAAAAGAGAUCUCUGCUGGCCAAGCUUUUUUGUUUCAUUUUUGAGGAACUCACUGAUUUUCUGAUCAAUUUGGAACUUGGACUUAUGAAAAAAUAUUUUGACAACAAAGAGAUACUAGACAGAUUUGAAAAGUUCACAAAAGGGAUUCCAUUUCCAUGUUCUUGACCUUCCUUUUGCUAAUAAUCAGGACUUUCACAAAUUCACAAGCCCUUUCUUCUACUUAGAUUUUUGUUUUAUUUACUUUUACAUAAACUUUCGUUCCAUGUUAAGGUACAUGUGCAAAGUGUGAGCAACAUUGGCUAGCGUUGGAAGUGGACUAUUCCAGUAAGUAAGGGGCACAGGUGAUUUCAAGCCUUCUGGCCUUUUGUGUCGCACACACACAUAAAUAUGCACACACACACACAAAUACUUUAAAAAGAAAGAGAAAGAAUAUAGGAAAGAAAAUGACAUGUUAAGAUUUUUUUAAAUAGUGGAGAAAGAGAGGAAAAGAGAAUGAAAAGCAGAACAUUUAAUGUAAAAGAAAAAAUGCAGAAUUUUGGCAUCAGGGUGAAGAUAAGUGAAAUUCAUUCAUUUUGUUAUAUUUUUCAUUAUAUAUUCAUUUUUCAUUAUAUGUUGGACCAGCUCCACAAAAGACAGUAAGAUGACCACUCCUCAUUCAUACUAAACACACUCUCUAUUAUAUUCAGUGAACAUUUUCCUUAUCUUUAGAAACACCUACUGUUAGGAGAACAGUGUGGUGUCAACAAAGUAGGCUAUAUUGCCUCAAACUCCUAUGAAGAUGAUCCUCAAACACAUAGCAAAGACCUACCAUAUAUUGGAAACUCCACAGAAUGGGAAAUAUUGAAAUUAUCAAGAAGAAUUCUAACAGGGUGAGGUUCAAGGUGUGCAUGCUCAGUGUUGACAAUCUUAGUUCUCAUUCUUAAACAUAAAGUCAGAAGUGAGCUGAUAGUUAUUUAAAUAUUUACAUAGAUAAAAAGACAUGUGUGUACAUAUUUUUUGGACUUGUACACAUACCAGGAUUCAAGUAUCAUAUAUUAAAGGAGUUUUGACAUUUAUAUCUUCUAUUCAUUUUCCUCUCCCUGCACCCUGAAUUCAGGUCUGUUCAGGCUUUCUUUCUUUUCUUACACCUUGCCCUCCUAAGGGUAAGUUUAUUGUUGAAUGUUGGCAUCAGGAGCAGACUCAGACUGGUCUUCUAUUUUCUGCUCACCUGUCUUCUUGUUCCUCCUUCCAUAUCCCUUUCCUACACACAUCAAACAAAAUCUGUAAAGUCAGUGUAAAUAUUCAUGUCAGUAUCAUGACAUUUUAAUAUAUGCUUAAUUUCUUUUUAAGUCUCUAUUUGAUGUUUAUAUGGCUAUAUAUGUCUAACAAUUUAAAAAUAUAACUGCCUUAAAAAUUAUGUUAGCUAACCAAAAUUUGUUGGCUAGGCUUUCUUUACUAUUUAACGUAAAUUUAUUUUUGUUGGAGUAGACUUAUAUAUGAUCCUUCAUAACAUGCUAAAAUAUCAUGAAUUUAGGAAAAUAAAUGUAAACUUGAAACUGCAUCUGCUUAGAGAUAUUUGUGUUUACAUCUGGUAAGUGCUUUUAAUUUUUGGAAAAUAAUUCAUAAAUUGAUUUUUCUGGCAUCUAUAUCCAAGCCUACAUUGUUUAUCCUCUGUCAAUUUUGUUCUAGCUCUUGUACUUGUGGUAAUUUGUAGAGGGAAAGAUUAUUUAUGCCUGGGCAUAAUCCAAGUGAAACAAUUAGUCUAUUUUGUCCAUUGUUUUGAAAAAGCAUUUAUAUAUCAUUUUGCAUUUUUAGUAGUUUCUAAUGAUACCUUAGAAUAAUCUUGCUGGUUUAUACCAGAUUUUAUCAACUUUAUCAACAUUUAGAUAAUUGGGGAAGAAAGUACAAAGUCCUGUCUAAUUAGAAAAUAUUAUAAAGGAAGCUACAUGGAGAAAAAUAUUCCCUUGGAAAGGAUUUCCUUCUUAAUAUUUAUAUAAAAUAUUGCUACCUUGUACCUUGAAUUUUUAUGGACACACGAGCCAUGAAAUCAAAGCAUCACUGGUUCUUAUAGAUGUUGAUAUUUUUCUUUUAUAGAAUGAAACUUUCCAAGACAUCACACUAACUGUAAAUUUUCCGGUUUCUGACUUACAGUUCUCUGACUUGAGAUUUACAUGAAACCUUAGGGAAUUUUAUAGUCAUAGUAAUACAUUAUUGGAGAAUAUUGACCCAUUCCUGAUGUGGAAAAUAUGACAAAGGAAACAGCAAAUAUUUGGAAAGAAAAUAGUAGAAAGAAAGUUUACAAACACUGUUUACUGGUAUAAAAUCUUACCUUCAGGCAGAGAAACUUCACACACCCACACACACACUUCACACACGCUCUCUCAUGUGCACACACACACCGCUAAGCCCUAAGGCAUCUUUAUUAUGCUUUCCUUGAUCCACUAUCAUACUUGUCACAUUGUUUACACAUCUGUCUGAUUAAAGACAAAAAAGCUAAAUUUUAUCCGCAGAGGCUGUUGUAGUAGUUGGCACUCAGUAGGUACUGAAUAAAUAUCUAAUGGAUGAAGGAACCAAGAAGCACAAGUCAUGUAAAACACUUGUGCUACAAAUGCUUUCUUUCCAGAUCAAUUUUCCCCAAGUUAAUCAACCUAACUCAGGAAAAAUUACCAGCCCUCCAACGUACCCUGGUCCUUUGUUUCUUCAACCCAAUUCCUAAUACCUCCUUUCUUUCUUUUGUCUAAUUCAGUCCAACAUUUACUGCCUCUGGAGACAUCCAGCUCUGACCACCCUAUUUCCUACCAAUUUACCGGCAGAAAUAGAAAGAAGCAUACUGUGUAGCUUUCAGUGAGUAAUUUGCAGUUUUAGGUAAUAAAAAUCAACAGUGUAUGGAUGCUAUUUGCAAUGAACAAACAAUAUCUACUUGGCCUAUCGUAAAUGGGAAACAAAAUGGCAUAGUGGUAAUUGAUAUAAGAAUGAAUAUAGAUCAAAGACUUUUUCUUUAAAAUGCUGACCAGUUGGUAAUUUAAAAAGUGACUUGGAAAUAAUACUUUUAGUGUUUAUUGAGUACUCGGAAUGGUGCUUAGCGAACUAUGGUCACUGUCUUAAAGGAGUGUACAUUCAUUCUCUUAUGAAAGUCAAUUUGUAUUUGUAUAAUUCAGACAAAGUUAUACAAGCUUAAAGAAAUGUAUCAAUUGGAGGAGAUCUUGGGACAUGGUUCCUGAACUACUCUUAAAAGAGUGGGUAAAAAAAUGGAAAGAAGAAAAAUCCGUAGUAGCAGUGAAGGAUCUUAUCGUCUCUUUUCUAUUCAUCAUAUAAUAAAAUGGUUUCAAGGUGUCAUAAGGAAUCUGUUAUUUUAAUGGCUGUAUAUCUUUCUUUCCUCUCAGUCAAGUUAAAAACACUGCUUACAUAAUAGUUUCUUAAAUACAUAGAAUAUAUUGACAACUUAUUCUGGAUAAAAUGCAGUUUAAGAUCUAAAGAAGACAGAGGGAUGCAGAAAGAAAGGGAGUCUAGCCGCCCUUGGGACCUAGAGAGAUCAACAAUGGAUAACGACUUCCCAAAUCCUCUACAACACUGAGGGACUCACCUUUACUGUGCUUCCUUUCCUUGGAGUAUCAGCACCCAACCUAAACUAGCUUAUGGAGAGAGUUGAGACUUAGGAGAACGAGAGAUGCUGUUGAAAUUAAAGGAAUGUUUAAACAUUCCAACUGUUGGAAGGACAGAAGCUGUAGCACUGAUACAGCCAUAUCUCAGAAGCAACUGAAACCACAGACUCAAAUACCACCUGACACACUUGUCUAAUUCCUGUGUGAUGUGCAUUACAUUCUCACACAGGUUUUCUCCAACUGGUAGAGGGGAAUGUACUGUUAAAAGUUGCCAGGUUUGGGCUGGCCUGGUGGCGCAGCAGUUAAGUGUGCACAUUCUGCUUCAGCAGCCUGGAGUUUGCCA